UACGGAGGGGGCUAGCGUUGUUCGGAAUUACUGGGCGUAAAGCGCGCGUAGGCGGACCUGCAAGUCGGGGGUGAAAGCCCGAGGCUCAACCUCGGAACUGCCUUCGAUACUGCGGGUCUCGAGUCCGGGAGAGGUGAGUGGAAUUCCUAGUGUAGAGGUGAAAUUCGUAGAUAUUAGGAAGAACACCGGUGGCGAAGGCGGCCCACUGGUCCGGUACUGACGCUGAGGUGCGAAAGCGUGGGGAGCAAACAGG
Molecule: ribosomal RNA, 253 nt
Filed under: uncultured bacterium
Lineage: Bacteria
Description: partial 16S ribosomal RNA
Rfam family: Bacterial small subunit ribosomal RNA
Source: RNAcentral